Molecule: ribosomal RNA, 1388 nt
Filed under: human gut metagenome
Description: bacterial LSU rRNA
Rfam family: Bacterial large subunit ribosomal RNA
Source: RNAcentral
CGGGAGUCAGACUGCACGAGAUAAGUUGGGCAGUCAAAAGGGAAAGAGCCCAGACCGCCAGCUAAGGUCCCAAAGUGUGUGUUAAGUGGAAAAGGAUGUGGGAUUUCGAAGACAACUAGGAUGUUGGCUCAGAAGCAGCCAUACAUUAAAAGAGUGCGUAAUAGCUCACUAGUCGAGAGGUCCUGCGCCGAAAAUGUCCGGGGCUGAAACACAACACCGAAGCUGCGGAACCCGCAAGGGUUGGUAGAGGAGCAUUCUUAAAGGAACGAAGCAGUACCGUAAGGAGCUGUGGACUUUUAAGAAGAGAGAAUGCCGGAAUGAGUAGCGAGAGUAAGGUGAGAAUCCUUACGGCCGAAUAUCCAAGGUUUCCAGGGUAAAGCUGAUCUGCCCUGGGGAAGUCGGGACCUAAGGCGAGGCCGAGAGGCGUAGCCGAUGGACAACAGGUUGAGAUUCCUGUACUACAGUAUAACAGAACUGUGGGGACGCAGAAGGAGAGCACUACCUGGAAUGGAAUCCAGGGGCAAGCACAGGAGGGGUACGGCUGGAAAAACCGCCGUGCAACCCAAAGGUGUGACGCAUACCGAACUAAAGUAGGGAAAUGUGUGAGCCGGCUGCCGAGAAAAGCCGCUAUUGUUUGUACUGUACCCGUACCGUAAACCGACACAGGUGGAUGAGGAGAGAAUCCUAAGGCCGACGGAAGAAGCAUUGUUAAGGAACUCGGCAAAAUGACCCCGUAACUUCGGGAGAAGGGGUGCCUGCGAGAGCAGGCCGCAGAGAAUAGGCCCAAGCAACUGUUUAGCAAAAACACAGGUCUAUGCAAAACCGCAAGGUGAAGUAUAUGGGCUGACGCCUGCCCGGUGCUGGAAGGUUAAGGGGAGAUGUCAGGAGACGAAGCAUCGAACUUAAGCCCCAGUAAACGGCGGCCGUAACUAUAACGGUCCUAAGGUAGCGAAAUUCCUUGUCGGGUAAGUUCCGACCCGCACGAAAGGCGUAAUGAUUUGGGCGCUGUCUCGGCAAUGCAUCCGGUGAAAUUGAAGUGCCAGUGAAGAUGCUGGCUACCCGCGCCAGGACGGAAAGACCCCAUGGAGCUUUACUCCAGCUUGAUACUGGGAUUCGGUAUUGCAUGUACAGGAUAGGUGGGAGGCUAGGAAAUGGUAACGCCAGUUGCCAUGGAGCCAAUGUUGGGAUACCACCCUUGCAGUACUGGGUUUCUAACCAGCAGCCGUGAUCCGGCUGGGGGACAAUGUCAGGUGGGGAGUUUGACUGGGGCGGUCGCCUCCGAAAGGGUAUCGGAGGCGCUCAAAGGUUCCCUCAGAAUGGUCGGAAACCAUUCGAAGAGUGCAAAGGCAGAAGGGAGCUUGACUGCGACACCGACGGGUGGAGCAGGU